This is a long non-coding RNA of Lathyrus oleraceus (garden pea), 2031 nucleotides long. RefSeq lists it as uncharacterized. NCBI's taxonomy places the organism in Eukaryota, Viridiplantae, Streptophyta, Magnoliopsida, Fabales, Fabaceae. The record is from RefSeq and is a predicted model, not a curated record. The transcript has 4 exons.
AGCGACCUAGUACACCGCAGGCUAUUACCAAGAUGGAAACUAAAUGUGAUAUUGACUCAGUAUUGAAUAUAACAUUACUAUUAAAAAAUCUGUCCAUAAAUUGAAAUCACUCGCCUUCUUCUUCUUUCUCAGCUUCAACCUUCGCUUCUUUUCUUUUUAAGAGAAGAAGCGAUCGGUUAACACAAACUGAUAUUCACCUUGACCAGUAAUCAAAACCUAAACAUGAAAACUGAAUUUGAUCCAUCCCUCAAUUAGAUUUAGUCAAUCGCGAUCUUAAAUCAGCAAAUAUGAACCUUGUUUAACCUAGAUUCUAAACCGUUUUCUACACCAUAAUCAACAACUAAGAUCCACAAAUUGAAGCAUGAGAGUUAUGGGAUCUACAAAACAACUAUGACAUCGAAGCAUUAUCAAGCAAAAGGAAAGAAAUUUCACCGGAUGAUCAUAACUCCGGCGAAGGUCCGACGACCACGACUACCUUCGGUAUUGUUGUUUCUGGUUUUGUUGUGGCUGUUGGAAUGAUGAGGUUUAGCUCAACUAUUUCAGAAUUUCGAGAAGAAACUCCUAGUAGUUCACGGUUUUCGAGCUUUUGAUAGGGUUGGGGGAAGAUUUCAGCAGAGUGACGGUGCUAAAAAAUUUCGGAUUAGGUCCUUCUACCCUAACGAUGGAGGGUCCUUAUAUAGAGCUUUGGAGGUACGAGGUUUCUCAUUCCUCUUUCAUGAGCUGGCGAAUUUUUGGGAGAAUCAUUCCGUUAGGUAGCAGGAUUUUUCUCAGAGUUGGUGGUCCCUUAAUAACAGGUGGUAAGGCGAGUUUGUUGGUAGUGGAAUCCCUCCAUGAUGCGUGGCCCCUCUUUUAAAUUUCUCUUGGAUUAUUACUGCUGUAAGACAGACUUGCAGGAUUCAUUUUGGUGGCAUGACGAAUUCUUAUUCACUACCUUGGUUGUGAAAGUGGCUUUUGUGUUUUGGCUUAUGUUACCGUAGAACUUGCAGCGUUUGGUGGUACUGUUCCGUCUUACAAUAUCAAUCCAUUGUUGAUUAGUUCCUCAUGUCUUGUUGGCUUAAGUUUUUUUUGUUUUGAGCUCUGCGAGGCACAUAUUAUUAUGACUGUUGAGUUGGUAUUGACGACAUCGCUACCUUUGAGCUAACUCAUUGCUUCUUAUAGCCCUUGAUUUGGGUUGAUCCGAAAACUGCAUAGGCUAGGUUUGUUGGCUUCAAUGCAGGUUGUAUGUUGGUUUGGCAAUGUUUGCUGGUGUGCAUGUAGGAUUUGCAGCAAGUCCGUGAUGACCAAAACUGAGAUGUCGAGAGUCCUGAUUUUGCCCGGUUGUUUUCUACAGCAUAUGAUGGUCUGAAUGAGGUUUUAUACUUAUUAACUAUGUUCUGCCUGGGAUCAUACAUUGCAAACGUGUUCGUAGAGCCUCCCAAAUGUCUCUGCUGCUCAAGAAAAGUCACAACUAGUUGCACCAGCUGUUCUGGUUGUAGGGAUCCCACAGGGGUUGGAGGAUCAAAAUCUCAUUUCCUGAUGUGAUGACAUGUUGUUACUGCCAAAUGGUAUACCAGAAUUUCCGCUGGAAUGUUGAGUCGAAUUUAUUCAUAUUGGGUGACGCUCCUCAGCAGUAGGUUCAACAACACCGCUAAAUAGAUGUGAAGACAAAGCUCUGUUUGAAGUUAUGCGGAUUGUUAGGAAGCCGGUUUGGCCCUGAUAUCCGUGGCUGGAUUGACAAAGAAAACAUUCCAGGAUUGCUGUCAUGGAUACAAGUACAUGGUCGAUGAAGAUUGCGUGUCAUAGGGUUUUUACAAACUCCAGUCGGUCUGAUGCGAAUGGUCAAAUAGAGUUCGGAUAAAAGCUUGGAGUUUUCUUGAAAUCUGUCAUUUUAAGUUCAAAAGACAGCUGAGGAUUUUGCUUCACUUCUUGUAAUGAAUUUACCUUAACAAUUGUAUGAUAUGGCUUGACUGAGUAACUGUAUUAAAGGUUAAUAUGUAAACAGCCUGAUAUAACAGGAUUCUAACUUUGAAAUGUGAAUUUUUCUUCUUUGAA